RNAcentral lists this ribosomal RNA (401 nucleotides) under uncultured bacterium. RNAcentral describes it as "bacterial SSU rRNA". It matches the Rfam family "Bacterial small subunit ribosomal RNA", at positions 356 to 772 of the family's 1533-position model. The record is from RNAcentral.
AGGGAAUAUUGGACAAUGGGGGCAACCCUGAUGGAGCAACGCCGCGUGAAGGAUGAAGGCCUUAGGGUCGUAAACUUCUUUUGUUAGCGAAGAAUAUGACGGUAACUAACGAAUAAGGGUCGGCUAACUACGUGCCAGCAGCCGCGGUCAUACGUAGGACCCAAGCGUUAUCCGGAGUGACUGGGCGUAAAGAGUUGCGUAGGCGGCUCGUUAAGUGGAUAGUGAAACCUGGUGGCUCAACCAUACAGACUAUUAUCCAAACUGGCGAGCUCGAGAAUGGUAGAGGUAGCUGGAAUUUCUAGUGUAGGAGUGAAAUCCGUAGAUAUUAGAAGGAACACCGAUGGCGUAGGCAGGCUACUGGACCAUUUCUGACGCUAAGGCACGAAAGCGUGGGGAGCGAA